AUUGAACGCUGGCGGCAGGCCUAACACAUGCAAGUCGAGCGGUAGAGAGAAGCUUGCUUCUCUUGAGAGCGGCGGACGGGUGAGUAAAGCCUAGGAAUCUGCCUGGUAGUGGGGGAUAACGCUCGGAAACGGACGCUAAUACCGCAUACGUCCUACGGGAGAAAGCAGGGGACCUUCGGGCCUUGCGCUAUCAGAUGAGCCUAGGUCGGAUUAGCUAGUUGGUGAGGUAAUGGCUCACCGAGUCGACGAUCCGUAACUGGUCUGAGAGGAUGUUCAGUCACACUGGAACUGUGACACGGUCCAGACUCCUACGGGCGGCAGCGCUGGGGAAUAUUGGACAAUGGGCGAAAGCCUGAUCCAGCCAUGCCGCGUGUGUGAAGAAGGACUUCGGAUUGUAAAGCACUUUAAGUUGUGAGGAAGGGCAUUAACCUAAUACGUUAGUGUUUUGACGUUACCGACAGAAUAAGCACCGGCUAACUCUGUGCCAGCCGCCGCGGUAA
Molecule: ribosomal RNA, 500 nt
Filed under: uncultured bacterium
Lineage: Bacteria
Description: partial 16S ribosomal RNA
Rfam family: Bacterial small subunit ribosomal RNA
Source: RNAcentral